CCCGGGUGGCAGCAGUGAGGAAUAUUGGUAAAUGGGCGCUAGCCUGAACCAGCCAAGUAGCGUGAAGGAUGACUGCCCUAUGGGUUGUAAACUUCUUUUAUAUGGGAAUAAAGUGCAGUAUGUAUACUGCUUUGCAUGUACCUUAUGAAUAAGGAUCGGCUAACUCCGGUCCAGCAGCCGCGGUAAUACGGAGGAUCCUAGCGUUAUCCGGAUUUAUUGGGUUUAAAGGGGGCUUAGUCGGGUUGUUAAGUCAGUAGUGAAAGUUUGCGGCUCAACCGUAAAAUUGCAGUUGAUACUGGCAUCCUUGAGUACAGUAGAGGUAGGCGGAAUUCGUGGUGUAGCGGUGAAAUGCUGAGAUAUCACGACGAACUCCGAUUGCGAAGGCAGCCUGCUGGACUGUAACUGACGCUGAUGCUCGAAAGUGUGGGUAUCAAACAGGAGUAGAUACCCCUGUAGUC
RNAcentral lists this ribosomal RNA (458 nucleotides) under uncultured bacterium. RNAcentral describes it as "partial 16S ribosomal RNA". It matches the Rfam family "Bacterial small subunit ribosomal RNA", at positions 340 to 795 of the family's 1533-position model. The record is from RNAcentral.